Molecule: ribosomal RNA, 253 nt
Filed under: uncultured bacterium
Lineage: Bacteria
Also listed under: 1 other name
Description: partial 16S ribosomal RNA
Rfam family: Bacterial small subunit ribosomal RNA
Source: RNAcentral
UACGUAGGGUGCGAGCGUUAAUCGGAAUUACUGGGCGUAAAGCGUGCGCAGGCGGUUAUAUAAGACAGUUGUGAAAUCCCCGGGCUCAACCUGGGAAUUGCAUCUGUGACUGUAUAGCUAGAGUACGGUAGAGGGGGAUGGAAUUCCGCGUGUAGCAGUGAAAUGCGUAGAUAUGCGGAGGAACACCGAUGGCGAAGGCAAUCCCCUGGACCUGUACUGACGCUCAUGCACGAAAGCGUGGGGAGCAAACAGG